Gorilla gorilla gorilla (western lowland gorilla) is the source of this 1723-nucleotide long non-coding RNA. RefSeq lists it as uncharacterized. The transcript is spliced from 4 exons. The record is from RefSeq and is a predicted model, not a curated record. NCBI's taxonomy places the organism in Eukaryota, Metazoa, Chordata, Mammalia, Primates, Hominidae.
UUCAAAUUUCAGAAUAAGCUGACUGCCAAGAGGGCCCUCCCCCUGUCGGGAGCCCCUUAGUCCAUGGGAAAUUCACAGAGAAGGAAACGGUCACUUUUCCUGCACCUGAGAAGGUGAUUCUGACUCUCCUGGAACCUGAGAACCACCAGUCUACGGGAAUAGAGCCGUGCUUUGGGUCAGCGCUCACUCCAAAGCUUGCUGGAAUCAUCUGAGGCUAUCAGUGUCUACAGCACAUCGAGCUGCCCUUAUGGAGCCUGGGACCAGCCCCAGGAAGCCAAUCUCAGCUCAGGAGCCAGGAUUUUAGUGCAAAGCUGCGCCCCCUUCUGUAAACCACGGUUCUCCUGAGAAACAGCUCAUGCCUUUGCCUGGGAACAGAUGGUUCCGCAGCAGCCAGCCCCAGCCUGAAAUGAGUUCCGGAGGCACUGCUGCCUGUCUCCACCAGCAAGAGGGAGGAGAGGCCCUUCCCGUGCCUGCAGCAGUCCAGGGUAGAUGCAAGCAGAAAGACUGGUGAAGACUGGAGCUCCUGGGCAGAAGCACUGACAGGCACGUGGGGUCCUGUAUGAAGAGCUGCACUUUGUGUGAAAGGAAAGGUGGCCCGAGGUCUGGCUCUACUUCAGCCGGAGCAGUGGCUGGUGGUCUUGCCGGGUGGGCCAGUCUUGGGAGGGGGCGAUGGGGAAGUUGGUGAAACAGAGGCACUGGGUCAGCAACUGUGUGAUGGGAUUCUCAGAAACGGCCCAGAUUACAAGAGAAUGCUUGACCCGAGUGACAGUUUACCAAAGCCCUCCCCCUCAAAAGAGGCUUUUAACAGUCAGGUGACACCUGUGGGUGUCACCAUCUUCCCUUUCUCUAUUAUUAGGACCUGGACAAAAUUCAAGAAGAUGUCCCAACCACAAGUAGCCUUACCUUUGAUACUUCCAAUUGCAAUGAGACUUAAAUUUUAGAAUAAGAGAUACAGGCUGGGCGCGGUGGCUCACGUCUGUAAUCCCAGCAAUUUGGUAGGCCAAGGCCGGUGGAUCACCUGAGGUCAGGAGUUUGAGACCAGCCUGGCUAACAUGGCAAAACCCCGUGUCUAGUAAAAAUACAAAAAUUAGCCGAGCAUGGUAGUGCAUGCCUGUAAUCCCAGCUACUCAGGAGGUGGAAGCAGGAGAAUCGCUUGAGCUCGGGAGGCGGAGGUUGCAGUGAGCCGAGAUUGCACCACUGCACUCCAGCCUGGGUGACAGAGCAAGACUUUCUCAAAAAAAUAAAAAUAAUAAUAAUAAUAAAAAGAGGAUACAGACCAUUUACAGGGUUUUUCCUGGUCCAUUAUCCUGCUCUAAUAAUGCCAAUCAACAUGUGAUCAUUAUUCCCUGGGGACAGAACUGGUCACCACUAGUUUGUGACUCUACCUCAUUUGAGGUGGCAUCCAGGGUGACAUCCCAGACUUCCUUACCUUACUUGAAGCACGAUGAGCCUUAAUUUUCGAAUAGAAAUGUUGACCAGCAAGCCAGCUUUUUUUUUUUUUUUCCAGGACAAGGAUAAAUUCCCUUAAGAAUUUUGCAAACAUCACGUGUUUUCUUUCCCCUUGUUGCAAUAUAUGUAAUUUAUCUCCUGGUGUAACUUGCUUAAUAGUUACCGUUUGUUAAUUCCAUCUGCUUCCCAAGAGGAGAACAUACUGUUACGUGGUGAUGUCCUGGGUUCUGUGAGUCUCCCAUAAGCCGCAGCUGGUCAAGAAACGAAUCAGUGG